AAAGGCGCUUUCGGGUGUCGCUGAUGGAUGGACCCGCGGUGCAUUAGCUAGUUGGUGAGGUAACGGCUCACCAAGGCCACGAUGCAUAGCCGACCUGAGAGGGUGAUCGGCCACAUUGGGACUGAGACACGGCCCAAACUCCUACGGGAGGCAGCAGUAGGGAAUCUUCGGCAAUGGACGAAAGUCUGACCGAGCAACGCCGCGUGAGUGAAGAAGGUUUUCGGAUCGUAAAACUCUGUUGUUAGAGAAGAACAAGGAUGAGAGUAACUGUUCAUCCCUUGACGGUAUCUAACCAGAAAGCCACGGCUAACUACGUGCCAGCAGCCGCGGUAAUACGUAGGUGGCAAGCGUUGUCCGGAUUUAUUGGGCGUAAAGCGAGCGCAGGCGGUUUCUUAAGUCUGAUGUGAAAGCCCCCGGCUCAACCGGGGAGGGUCAUUGGAAACUGGGAGACUUGAGUGCAGAAGAGGAGAGUGGAAUUCCAUGUGUAGCG
RNAcentral lists this ribosomal RNA (490 nucleotides) under Enterococcus faecium. RNAcentral's name for it is "bacterial SSU rRNA". It matches the Rfam family "Bacterial small subunit ribosomal RNA", at positions 202 to 680 of the family's 1533-position model. The record is from RNAcentral. RNAcentral also lists the same sequence under 1 other name. Lineage: Bacteria; Bacillati; Bacillota; Bacilli; Lactobacillales; Enterococcaceae.